CAGCAUGAUUCUGACAAGACUCAUAAAGAUAAAGAAGAGCAUUUCUGCAAUUACUGAAGAAGGGCACAUUCUCCUCAUGAGGGGAAACAAUACAUAUAUGAGAAGAAUAAAGAUACAAAACUGAGCUCUCAACGUCUAUAUCAUCUAUACGGCUCAGAGUCCCAGGAGGCUCCAGUUGGAAGAGAAGCAGUUCACCCCACUCCACUCUCGAUUACACCUCUCCAUUAGAGACAUCAUUCUUCAGACUCUGUGCAGAAAGAACAGGAAAUGCUCUGUUAAAUCCCACAUGAAGUGUGUAACUCUUAAUGUGGUGAGACUUUUUAAUUCUGAUUUGAUAUAAUGUUUGAGGAAAGAAUGCAUAGGAUGUAUUAUCCCUUUUUUUUUUUUUUAUUUUGAAACUUUUUUCUCUUG
This is a non-coding RNA of Peromyscus maniculatus bairdii (prairie deer mouse), 411 nucleotides long. The record is from RefSeq and is a predicted model, not a curated record. NCBI's taxonomy places the organism in Eukaryota, Metazoa, Chordata, Mammalia, Rodentia, Cricetidae.